UGCCAGUAGUCAUAUGCUUGUCUCAAAGAUUAAGCCAUGCAUGUCUAAGUCCAAGCUGUGUUCACACGGCGAGACCGCGGACGGCUCAUUAAAUCAGUCGUGGUCCAAAUGGGCCAGUGCAAAUCCUACUUGGAUAACUGUGGUAAUUCCAGAGCUAAUACAUGCAACUGAUAUCCCGAAGGCGGUGUUUGGGCUUGCUUGCCUUGCGCUGCGCUGCUCUGACGGAUGCUUUUAUUAGACCAAGCCGCUGAGGACUUGAGGGUUCGCGCUCUCUUGUCUGACUCGUGUGAUGGUGACUCUGGAUAACCAAAUUCUGACAAGCGCACGUACUUCUCUUCUGAGCGAGACGGCGCUGCCACUUUCGAGUGUCUGCCUUAUCAGCUAUCAACCGUUCGUUAUGCGCGACCGAUGGCUUUGACGGGUAACGGGGAAUCAGGGUUCGAUUCCGGAGAGGCAGCCUGAGAGACGGCUACCACGUCCAAGGACGGCAGCAGGCACGCAAAUUACCCAAUCCCAGCAAAUGGGGGAGGUAGUGACGAAAUCUAACGAUGCGGGCGCCCUUUCUGGGGCCCCGCAAUCGGAAUGGGCACUUUCUAAACAACCUGUUGAGAACCUACUGAA
This 621-nucleotide ribosomal RNA is filed under the name Eulimnogammarus verrucosus. Its description in RNAcentral is "SSU rRNA". It matches the Rfam family "Eukaryotic small subunit ribosomal RNA", at positions 15 to 552 of the family's 1831-position model. The record is from RNAcentral. Lineage: Eukaryota; Metazoa; Arthropoda; Malacostraca; Amphipoda; Eulimnogammaridae.